CAUAGAUCCUUGGAGCAUCUCCAACCAUCUAACAUUUUAAAAAUUGCCAUGGUUGCUCAAAGGGAAAUUAAUUUAGGAUAAUUCUUAACUUCAACCGUCCUGUUCAAAAGUCUAUGUUAAGCGUAUUAUUAUGACAAUCAUCAUGACAACAGGAAAAGAAGACUAGUUUGAUAUGAAGAACUGUUAGGAGACCGAGAGGCAGAUGCCUUUGAAGUACAGCCUUUCUAAGGAAGCUCUCAUAUCUUAACCAUCUUGGGUUUUCAGAAAUUGACUAAAUGUUUAUGCUGUUAUCUAUGGAUGAGCAGGGAAUCAUAGAAGCAUUGUCUAUCAAUGACUGUCGGAGCUUGGGUCCAACAGGUUCACACACUUGAUAUUUGAUCUUACUUAUCUUCACUCAUUUUUAUUGCUUUGCAGUAAACUUAUCUCAAGGGCUAGUCUUUCACGCUCUUCCUGUCUUGAGCAGCUACUCUUGGUCAAGUACUCAAUUCUCCUUUCUGGAUGUACAGAAAGAGCGCUUAUGUUGCCACUCGAAAUUUCAGUUCUUAGGUGUCAGAAACAAAUGCAAAGCAGUGUCUACAAGACUCCAGUGAGGAGGUAAGUCAGCACCUUCUAUCUCGUGCUUACACGUUUUCCAGACUUUGAGCUCCAGGUCUCCUCUGCCACUUUCACUGUAUAGCAGGGAUACAUGAAAAGCAUGACAAAUAGAAAAGCAACUAAGUGGUAUCCCAAAUAUUUACAUAGCAUCUAAUUAUCAUGUGGAAGUUGUGGGCUAGAAGUAGACAGGUAUAAAUUGGAUCCUCUCUCCAUCAAGAGUUGCUACGUAGAUGCAUAACAGACAGUCCUUGAUGGAGAACAGGUGGCUACUGUGGGGAGUGAGUAAUCAUUGGAAAGAAGGAUCAGCUGGUAGACAUCAAAACAUUCUUGGAAGUGGUCAUUUCGAAUUUGGGAGGUUUAUGGACUUGAGGCAAGAGGCAGGAGGAGGCUGUAACUAUUGCAGACCAAGAUGGGACAAUUAGACGGUGGAGUUGGUCCCCAUGGCUACAGCAGAAGGUUGUGGGGGCAAGCUGUGAGAUGCUGGCUGGUGGUAUUUUGAGAACUAACAAACUUCCUAGAUCAGCGUGCCCUGGGAAUAGUAUUCCUCUAGGUAAGUUUCCUGGGGAAGGUAGGAUGCCCUCCCUCCCCUGCUCUACCUAUGAGUUCUGCUGUUUCUUUCCUCAGGAUUGCUUCAAAGUUCAUCUUUCAGAGCUGUGUCAGCUGGGAAAAGCUCUGUCCUCCCUGCUACCUGCAGGUGCAUUAUGUCCAGCUGCUUUGAGCUUCUGAUGCCCCGACUUCCCCACUAUCCAUUAAGUUGAUUUUCUUAGAGUGUUUUUUAAAAUAAUAGCAAUGGAAAAGAAACUAAAAUACCAUCCACCCUACAGAUUUCAGACUUCUCAGUCUCCUUAAUCCAGAAGCUGCUGCCAUGUUAUAUUGGUCUGAGCAGCACUUAACCAGAUCCAACUACAAUUGGUUGCUAACGUGACCAUCUCUAGAGCCAUGACUAAUUUCCAGAUCAGUGCAAGGCCUUAUGAAAUGAGCGAAUGACAAAAUAAAGGAAGGGAUGGAAAGUAGAAACAUUCUGAAUGCAGAAAUGGUGCAUAAGACGAAUGUUUUGUACCAAAGAAAAUAAUAGGGAUAUCAUAGGGAGGUAGAGGGAUUUCUACAGGGUAGGGGGUAAUUAAAGUGGAAACUUCUGGUUUCUUUGGAAAGUCAGUUAUGCCAGAGGAUGUUUCCCUGAAGCAAACACAGCUGGAAGGAUGUUUAGCUAAAUCAAACACAUGAAAGGACACACGAUGUUAAGAAGGAAUAUAAAAAUAACCCAACAGAUACUGGCCGACACUGGAUUAGGUAUUGGUAUGCCCUGCCAUUUUAUUGGUCAUUAUUUGUCAUGACUUUAUAGAAAGAAACACACCAAAACAAUCAGUGGUGUUCUGAUGGAUUUUUGCUGUUUUCUCGGACUCUGGACAAUUGCCAGAGUGACGUAGGUAGAUACAGACACACGUGGUGAGGCAAGACUCAUGGGAGGACAUGUGAUGUUUGGACAGAGUACAAAUAGGACUCAAUGGACAGUGAUGGGGCUUGCAUAGCUGGCUUUGCCACCGCUCCUCAUUCUUGUUUGCUAUCCUGACACUAUUGACUGGACUGCUGGUGUAUUCGUGGAGUGUUUGUGAGUCGAUCAAGGUGCUGCUGCUGGUUUGUGUGAACUGGACUGCUGAGAUCCCGACAACACAGAUGGGAUGGCUCCAAAGAAAACUUUCUAAACAGGUCCACUUCCCCAGUAUCCUAAUAACCUUUCUUUUCUACUGCCUGUGGUGAGUAGUGGACUAGAAGAAGGGAGGUUAAAACAUUUAAAAACCCACAUUAAAAGUAGGUUUUGAAAAAUUUAAGACAACAGAUAUUUGAAAAUGAUCCUUUCUGGUUUGGCAUACUGGUCUGGGAAAUGUGCAGACACGAGGAAACAGUUCUAUAGAGAAACAGAGAAACUCAUAUACAGAGGGCAGUGUGAAAAAAAUCUAUUUACAUAUCUGAUGUAUAAACAUGGAAUUUACAAAGAGAGUAGUAAUGUACACAGGAGGGCUUAUCCGAUAAUUCAGGACAAAAUGAGCGUUCCUCCCCAACUUUCUACACAACUGCCUCUAUCUUCGUUGUUUUGUAUAUAAGAAUCACACAAGGGUGUGGGGCACUCUGUGCUGUUUUGACACAGAUAUACAUUGUGAAACAAUCAAAUGAAGGAAUUGACAGUUCAUUACUUUGAAUAUUUACCAUUUCUUGGUGUUGGCAGACUCUCCUGCUAUCUAUUCUGAGAUAUGCUUUUAACCAUUGUUAAUUACAGUCUACACAAUCUUUUUAUUUUGAGGAUGUGCUAGGAUGAUUUUUUUUCUCCUAACUACUCUUUUUUUUUUUUGAGCAUGUUUUUGUAACUCCAGCUGUUAAUUACCCCGUCGUACAACCAUGUCAUUUUGACCCCUGUUCGCUGUUUUCAUGCAAUGAGAUGCUUGUUUUUCAAUCGGAUUCUAUUGUUUUUCUACAAAAGACAAUUUCUUUAAUCAGCACACUGGCUGCCUGUAGAUUCAUCUACGUUUCACCAGAAUGAUUCUCGCUCCCUGUCUUCCUUGCACAUCCUCCAAGUUGAUCUGACAUUUAAAAAAAAAUUCCGUGCUGUGAAUUCUAUUUUC
This is a non-coding RNA of Rattus norvegicus (Norway rat), 3212 nucleotides long. The record is from RefSeq and is a predicted model, not a curated record. Lineage: Eukaryota; Metazoa; Chordata; Mammalia; Rodentia; Muridae.